Molecule: long non-coding RNA, 3868 nt
Filed under: Nothobranchius furzeri (turquoise killifish)
Lineage: Eukaryota; Metazoa; Chordata; Actinopteri; Cyprinodontiformes; Nothobranchiidae
Description: lncRNA (ENSNFUG00015009279.1)
Source: RNAcentral
UAUAUAUAUAUAUAUAUAAUACUAAGUAAUAAAAACUAAGUAAUAAAUUGUUCACUGUAAACACUAAUUUGUUGACUCAAUCAACUUUUUGACUCAUUUAAGUCAAAAUUACAGCGUAAAGACAGCUUGAACUCGUCAUUCCAUAAAUACAUCCAACCUCCAUGUAACUCAAGCCUUUAUUCAACUAAUUUAAAUAUUAAAAAUGUAUGAAAGUUGCCUUGAAUAACGAGCUAGCUCAAAGCACCACUGUGCUACAUGAACUGGCUUCCUUAUUCCUUUGUCCUGUUUUUGAUCUUUCAUAAAAUAAAACAAAAUUUUGAGGAGGAGUAUUACGAGAAAUCUUCCUGAUAAAAUAAAACGUUAUUCUGACCCAACAAGUCCUCAAGCAAACUUAAGUGUUUGUUAAAUGUGCCAAACUGCUUCUUUGAGCUGUGAUAUUACUCUUGCACUGAUUUCUCUCAGCUCAAAAUAAUGUGAAAGAAAUCCUUAAUUUCAUGUUUAGAGAGAAAUAACAGAGGUGUGUGAGUCAGGGUUAUCUGCAGAUUUGAUUGACUUUUUCAUUAAAAAAAGGACUCAUGCUCUUAUUUUUUCCUUUGGCCAUGCUUCACUGUAAGAAUUCAUCACAUCUUUUGGGGAUCAGUCAUCCAAAAAUCAAUGCCCAACCUCCUGCCAGCCCAUCAGUUGAGCCUACAUUUAUUAUUUUGACCUUUCCUUUGAGAGGAAGAGAAGGGGGAUGACAUCAAAGGGAAUUCUUGACUCGAUCUUCUGUUAAAAGACGGAGGUGUCACACUCUCAGUGUGAGCAGCAGACUGUUGGCCAGUGAAGAAGCAAGAUGGAGACUGAGUCAACGUAUUUAGAGCUAGAAUCAACAAGUCGGAGGUGAGCGGUGUCUGAAUGGAACCGGCUGCAGCAGAUCCAUCAUCAGCCACUGCUGGCUUAAAAGGAGGAGGAAGACCACUGCUCAACGCCAGUUGAUUACUCCACACGGGUAUAUCCAAUCCUGCUCAACUUCACACAUUCAGCCAUACUCCUGGACCUCACUUCAGCCUGCAUCUUCCUUCCCUCAGUCAUUUCACCACCGCUCAUCCACCCCUUUCUGGAACCAUUCUCGACCCCACUGGACACUUGGAUCCUGCCACCUCAGACCUAACAGACCUCCCCACAUACCAUCUCCCCAGCAGCACAGUAAGAUCUCCACUCCUCCUCCACCUUCAAACCACCAAAACCUUCUACUAAUCCAGACUCUACAUGCAGGUUCAUUUCUGCCCCUCUCCCCUGCAUCUCCCAGUUUGGGAGUUGUGCACCGUUUAAUAAAACCUUUUUUUUUAAUCUUACAUUUGUCUCGUGUUGAUUCUGCAUGUCUUGGGUCAAGCACCUAAACCCCAACAUGUCAUUCACUGAAUCUUAAAACAAAUAUAUUGUUUAAUGAAAGAGAAAACAAGGAUGUAACAUUAAAAUAGAUGGAAUGGACAUUGAAAGGGUGAAAGAAACCAAAUGUUUAGGAGUCAUGUUUGAUGAAGCACUCACCUGGAAGUCACACAUAGGUUAUAUCAGAAGUAAAAUUGCCAAAGCCAUCACAGUACUACUGCAUAGUUCUGGAUUGCUGAUAUUGAAAAACUCACUGAUCGCCCCAUUCUUAACUUACUGUGUAGAAAUAUGGGGAUCUGCAUGUAAAACUCAUACACAACCACUGUUCUACAGAAAAGAGCAUUGAGAAUCAUUAAUUGUUUUAGAGAUCCAUCCAAUCUGAUAUUCAUCAAAUAUAAAUUACUGAAGAUUCAUGAUCUAGUUAAUAUGAAAUUACAAUGUAUAAAGCUAAUACAAAUACACUACCCACCAACAUUCAGAAAAUAUUUUAAGAAAAGAGUCAGUAAUUAUUUCUUUAACCCUUAAAUUUCCAGGUUUAAUUAACACAAGGGCAGGACGCCAGAAUGCUUAGGGGUUAAAAGGAACUGAAGUAUUUAGAAAAACCUAGAUUUAGAACCAGAAUGAAGGAGAUGACUAUUUCUGUAAAUGGUGUGAGAAUAUGGAACAACCUUAGCAAAGAUAUAAAAGAAUCAAAGUCACUAAAUGUAUUUUAAAAAUGUAUAAAAUCUAGUGUAUUACAGAAUUACAAAAUCUAAAUUCAGAUAGUGUCUGAUUAGGUCUGUAAAUUAAAAGAAUAUACACUGUAAACCCCGAUUAGUUCAGUCUACUUAAAAAAAAACCAAGGUAACCCGUUGCCUUAAAAUUUUAAGUAAUGAAUAAUUAGUUGAAUUGAUGCAACUGAGUAUGUUCAAUGUACUUAAGGCCUUAAUGGGAUGAAAUUAAAGAUUUAAGUUGAAUAUACAAAUAACAAAAGUUGCAUUAACAAUAGUAAAGGAACUAUUUCAGAACAAGUGUUUCAAUAAAAUCAGAACAUUAAUAUUUAAGUGCAUGGAUUAAUACAUCUGAACUCAUGCAGUAGGAACUAGGAAAUAUGAAAUACUAGAACCAGACACAACUUUAUGUAUUUUUUUUAUUUUAAUUUGAUUAAACUGAUUUUUUUCUUAACGUUCUUGGCAUUCUGCCCCAAACAAAGUUAAACAAAACAAUGUUGAUUAAGGUGUGUGUGUCUGAGAGAGAUAGAGAGGGUGAGAGGGAGAGAGAUGGAGUUUAAAAAAGUAAAAAACCCAACCGGAGCGGAGGUAGUGAGUGACUGAUGCAGCACGCCAGCUCUGUCUUGUCAAAUGCACCAGGUAAGUUACGAAAAAAGUCACUUUAAAUGUUCAGCCGAAAAAGAGGCGAGCUGAAGAAAACUGAAGAAACGUGAGCAACAGUGAAGCAAUCACAGCGAGAUCCGUUACUAUCUGUGUGUGUGCGUGGAUGAGCCGGACGGACUGAGCUCCCGGCCGGCUAGAGAGUUUUGUGUGUAGGGAGGAGCGGGCGCUCUAUGUGACUGGCCAAUCACAGAGCGUGAAGACAGUCAGUUACCCAAUGAGGAUUUUCCUUUAGCACGAUUACAGAUAUUUACGAGGUUUACUCGUUUCAUGCUUGUAUUCAUCAAAAAUGCUUUAUCCGUACCGGAUACUCGUCUGAAACAAGUAUCCGGCUCAUCCCUAAAAUAAACAAUACACAUAUCAACUUCUGAUCAUUCCUUAUCAAUUUCAGACUUAAAAUAAUAUAUUGAUGUAAACUACAGCCACUUCCAGUUAAACCACGCCCACUUCCGGGUUAUGCCGCGCCCAUUCGGAGUACAGAUACAGAUAAUUUAGUUGGUUGAACAGAUACAGAUAGUGGUGUACUCGCUCAUCCCUAUUUCAAACCCUCCCAGCGGGCACGGGAGCUCAUUCCUGGGCCGGUGCCGGCCGGCAGCAGCGGGGUAUUCAUAAUUUGGCAUAUAAGUCACUUUGGUAUAUAAGUCGCAGGACCAACCAGACUAUGAAAAAAAGUGUGACUUAUAGUCCGGAAAAUACAGUACUUAAUGAUAAAUGACUCGCACUUGUAUAGCGCCUCUCAGAGUAAGGACUCCAAAGCGCUUUACACUACAGUGUACCAUUCAUCCAUUCACACACACAUUCACACACUGAUGUUGAUGAGCUACAAUGUAGCCACAGCUGCCCUAGGGCGCACUGACAGAGGCGAGACUGCCAAGAACGGGUGCCACUCACCACCACCAGCAGGCAAGGUGAGUUAAGUGUCUCGCCCAAGGACACAACAGCAGAAUUCUCUGUCCGGAGCCGGGAUCGAACCUGCAACCUUCCGAUUACUGGACAACCCGCUCAACCUGUUGAGCUACUGCUGCCCCUGAUGAGUCGAUUCCUUCUAAUUAUUUAAGUGUGUGUGUGUGUGUGUGUGUGUGUGUGUGUGUGUGUGUGUGUGUGUGUGUGUGUGUGUGUGUGUGUGUGUG